Molecule: ribosomal RNA, 253 nt
Filed under: uncultured bacterium
Lineage: Bacteria
Description: partial 16S ribosomal RNA
Rfam family: Bacterial small subunit ribosomal RNA
Source: RNAcentral
UACGUAGGGACCAAGCGUUGUUCGGAUUUACUGGGCGUAAAGGGCGCGUAGGCGGCGCGGUAAGUCACUUGUGAAAUCUCUGAGCUUAACUCAGAACGGCCAAGUGAUACUGCAGUGCUAGAGUGUGGAAGGGGCAAUCGGAAUUCUUGGUGUAGCGGUGAAAUGCGUAGAUAUCAAGAGGAACACCUGAGGUGAAGACGGGUUGCUGGGCCAACACUGACGCUGAUGCGCGAAAGCCAGGGGAGCAAACAGG